This 71-nucleotide transfer RNA is filed under the name Sphaerobolus stellatus SS14. Its description in RNAcentral is "tRNA-Gly (GCC) (tRNA-Gly-GCC-29-1)". Lineage: Eukaryota; Fungi; Basidiomycota; Agaricomycetes; Geastrales; Sphaerobolaceae. The record is from RNAcentral.
GCAUUAAUGGGGCGGUGGUAACCUUAGUCGUUGCCAUCGACCAGCCGCGAGUUCGAUUCUCGCUUAAUGCA